This 201-nucleotide long non-coding RNA is filed under the name Vigna radiata. RNAcentral describes it as "long non-coding RNA (VRAD_LNC013871)". Lineage: Eukaryota; Viridiplantae; Streptophyta; Magnoliopsida; Fabales; Fabaceae. The record is from RNAcentral.
GGGUGUAUGAAUGAAUUUUGUGUGAGAAAGCACGUGUGUGAGAUUUUGAGCUCUAGAGUUUUUAUUGAUGUAUGCAGUGUUCACAGGAAAACAUGGACGAUAUUGCCUUAAUCUUGAUGAUCGAUUGAAUUGCAUGUGAAUGUGAUAUGAUCAAGGCCAUUUUUGAAAACCCUUCUCUAGCCAAAUUUUCACCCAAAGUAC